This 484-nucleotide ribosomal RNA is filed under the name uncultured bacterium. Its description in RNAcentral is "partial 16S ribosomal RNA". It matches the Rfam family "Bacterial small subunit ribosomal RNA", at positions 28 to 507 of the family's 1533-position model. The record is from RNAcentral.
GUUGAACGCUGGCGGCAGGCCUAACACAUGCAAGUCGAGCGGAUGAAGGGAGCUUGCUCCUGGAUUCAGCGGCGGACGGGUGAGUAAUGCCUAGGAAUCUGCCUGGUAGUGGGGGAUAACGUCCGGAAACGGGCGCUAAUACCGCAUACGUCCUGAGGGAGAAAGUGGGGGAUCUUCGGACCUCACGCUAUCAGAUGAGCCUAGGUCGGAUUAGCUAGUUGGUGGGGUAAAGGCCUACCAAGGCGACGAUCCGUAACUGGUCUGAGAGGAUGAUCAGUCACACUGGAACUGAGACACGGUCCAGACUCCUACGGGAGGCAGCAGUGGGGAAUAUUGGACAAUGGGCGAAAGCCUGAUCCAGCCAUGCCGCGUGUGUGAAGAAGGUCUUCGGAUUGUAAAGCACUUUAAGUGGGGAGGAAGGGCAGUAAGUUAAUACCUUGCUGUUUUGACGUUACCAACAGAAUAAGCACCGGCUAACUUCGUG